CAGUUUAACGUACUGAGAAAGAAUAUGUCUUAAGUUUUCAGUUUCGACUCCGUUUGGUCAUCGAAAACUGUGCCGAACUGCAAUCUUUAUCAGAUAGCUUUCGGAUUUUAUUUCUCACUCUACGGGUGUCAAAAAAAUAUGAAACUUUAAAUCUAGCCUCAUAAAAAUAUUUCUGACAUAUCUCCAAUUUUCAUAAUUUUCUGAGACUGUGCAUUUUCUGCUAAUUUUUCUGUCCCGUUUCCAACAGAAAAUUUUAGAUUUUCUGUUUUCAUCCCGAUUUCAGCACAAGUCACUUCUCACUAAUAUUCUACUUCUCUAAAUCCAAUAAAAAUAGUAUCUCACACUAUUUUUAUUUAUUUUUACUUUUAUAUUUAAAAUUCGGUAUGUUACAUUCCACCGCAGCCUCACCGGAACCAUUUAAAUGUACACCGUAACUUCAUAGUUUUAGAAGUCCAGUACCUUACAAUACCUGAUCCUGAAAUCAAAUG
This 488-nucleotide long non-coding RNA is filed under the name Ananas comosus (pineapple). RNAcentral describes it as "long non-coding RNA (ACOM_LNC041575)". The record is from RNAcentral. Lineage: Eukaryota; Viridiplantae; Streptophyta; Magnoliopsida; Poales; Bromeliaceae.